This is a long non-coding RNA of Planococcus citri (citrus mealybug), 661 nucleotides long. RefSeq lists it as uncharacterized. NCBI's taxonomy places the organism in Eukaryota, Metazoa, Arthropoda, Insecta, Hemiptera, Pseudococcidae. The transcript has 3 exons. The record is from RefSeq and is a predicted model, not a curated record.
UCGACGAGGACGAAUUAUUUACAAGGUAAUAAACGAAAAUGAAUCAUUCAUAAUUCACCUAAUUGGUUCUUUUCACUGAAAAAUGACGUAGGAAAACUAGCCGAGGCCCCAAAUUAAUGUCACUUGCAAGCAACACGCAUCGAACGAUAAAACUGAAAGGAUUCCUGAGUAGUGAUGUAAUGAGUACACAAUUUUACACGCAAGCAAUGAUGUAUCAAAGACAUUGACGACUUACCAUACCCCCCGAGACGAAAAACUAUGGAUGAUUGCUGGAAUAUUUCGAAGAAACAUCUGUUUCGCACUUCGCAGUGAUUCGUUGUGCAAUGUGCACUGUGGUCGAUAUUUGGUGCUAGGGUCAAAUAAACCAUUAGUACCACAGUGAAGUCAUCCUACACUAGUGGACAGCUAGACCGUAGACGGAAUCGAUAAAAGAAAAAGAUACAUAGUAGACAAAAAGGACUCAAAGAAACGAAUACAAUAUCACGGUGUACCCAAAUCAUCCCUAUCUUUCUAAAAAUGGAAACGUCACGUACAUACGCACCACGUACUCGGGCUCUGUUUAUACACAUUAUGACCCAUCCAGUACCUUUGUACCUCUAGGUAUAAUGAAGGGACAGAACUCACUAGUGAAAUUCGGCGAAAUAUAGAAUAAGUAUUGAUU